Non-coding RNA from Pelobates cultripes (western spadefoot toad), 274 nucleotides. Lineage: Eukaryota; Metazoa; Chordata; Amphibia; Anura; Pelobatidae. The record is from the annotation of a GenBank genome assembly.
AAAAUAUUGGUCCUUUCAGGGUAAAACGUUUAAUUAUACAGUAAGCAUACGCACAUGCAGACACAGGCAAUUUUACUGACAUUUCAGUGACACAUACAAGCUCAUUGAUACACAGCCUCAUAGACAAACAAUCUUACUGAUAUACAUCAGCUCAUUGACAUAAAAACACAAGCUCACUCACUAGCAGGCACACGCAUGCAAGCAAGCUCACUCACUAGCAGACGCACACACAGCUUAAUGUGGUGGUACUGGUGUCUAUAGCAUGUCGCUACAG